This 498-nucleotide ribosomal RNA is filed under the name uncultured bacterium. Its description in RNAcentral is "bacterial SSU rRNA". It matches the Rfam family "Bacterial small subunit ribosomal RNA", at positions 28 to 525 of the family's 1533-position model. The record is from RNAcentral.
GAUGAACGCUAGCGGGAGGCCUAAUACAUGCAAGUCGAGCGGUAGAGUGACUUCGGUUGCUUGAGAGCGGCGAACGGGUGAGUAACGCGUACACAAUCUACCUUUAAGAGGGGAAUAGCCCUGGGAAACUGGGAUUAAUGCCCCAUGGCAUCACGAGACGGCAUCGUUUUGUGAUUAAAGCUGAGGUGCUUAGAGAUGAGUGUGCGUCUGAUUAGCUAGUUGGUGCGGUAACGGCGCACCAAGGCGACGAUCAGUAGGGGGCGUGAGAGCGUGGACCCCCACACGGGUACUGAGACACGGACCCGACUCCUACGGGAGGCAGCAGUAAGGAAUAUUGGUCAAUGGAGGAAACUCUGAACCAGCCAUCCCGCGUGCAGGACGAAGGCCCUAUGGGUUGUAAACUGCUUUAGACUGGGAAGAAACCCCUCAAUGCGUUGGGGGCUGACGGUAUCAGUAGAAUAAGCACCGGCUAACUCCGUGCCAGCAGCCGCGGUAAAG